This 440-nucleotide ribosomal RNA is filed under the name uncultured bacterium. Its description in RNAcentral is "bacterial SSU rRNA". It matches the Rfam family "Bacterial small subunit ribosomal RNA", at positions 338 to 795 of the family's 1533-position model. The record is from RNAcentral.
CCUACGGGGGGCUGCAGUGGGGAAUAUUGCACAAUGGGGGAAACCCUGAUGCAGCAGCGCCGCGUGAGCGAUGAAGGCCUUCGGGUCGUAAAGCUCUGUCCUAAGGGAAGAAUACUGACGGUACCUUAGGAGGAAGCCCCGGCUAACUACGUGCCAGCAGCCGCGGGAAUACGUAGGGGGCUAGCGUUAUCCGGAAUUACUGGGCGUAAAGGGUGCGUAGGCGGCCCUUCAAGUCAGGGGUGAAAGGCUACGGCGAGACCGUAGUAAGCCUUUGAAAGGGGAGGGGGGGAGUGCAGGAGAGGGGAGUGGAAUUCCCAGUGUAGCGGUGAGAUGGGUAGAUGUUGGGAGGAACAGCAGUUGCAAAGGAGGCGAUCUGGACUGUAUAGGACGUUGAGGCACGAAAGCGUGGGGAGCGAAGAGGAUUAGAUACCCCGGUAGUC